AGUUUGAUCCUGGCUCAGGACGAACGCUGGCGGCGUGCUUAACACAUGCAAGUCGAACGAUGAGGCCCUUCGGGGCGGAUUAGUGGCGAACGGGUGAGUAACACGUGGGCAACCUGCCCUCCACUCUGGGAUAACUCCGGGAAACCGGGGCUGAUACUGGAUACGACCCUCCCUCGCAUGGGGGUGGGUGGAAAGUUUUUCGGUGGAGGAUGGGCCCGCGGCCUAUCAGCUUGUUGGUGGGGUGAUGGCCUACCAAGGCGGUGACGGGUAGCCGGCCUGAGAGGGCGACCGGCCACACUGGGACUGAGACACGGCCCAGACUCCUGCGGGAGGCAGCAGUGGGGAAUAUUGCACAAUGGGCGAAAGCCUGAUGCAGCGACGCCGCGUGAGGGAUGACGGCCUUCGGGUUGUAAACCUCUUUCAGCAGGGACCAAGCGCAAGUGAGUGUACCUGCAGAAGAAGCACCGGCUAACUACGUGCCAGCAGCCGCGGUAAUACGUAGGGUGCGAGCGUUGUCCGGAUUUAUUGGGCGUAAAGGGCUCGUAGGCGGCCUGUCGCGUCGGAAGUGAAAGCCCACUGCUUAACGGUGGGUCUGCUUCCGGUACGGGCAGGCUGGAGUAUGGCAGGGGAGACUGGAAUUCCUGGUGUAGCGGUGGAAUGCGCAGAUAUCAGGAGGAACACCGGUGGCGAAGGCGGGUCUCUGGGCCAUUACUGACGCUGAGGAGCGAAAGCGUGGGGAGCGAACAGGAUUAGAUACCCUGGUAGUCCACGCCGUAAACGUUGGGCGCUAGGUGUGGGGACUGUUUCCACGGUCUCCGUGCCGGAGCUAACGCAUUAAGCGCCCCGCCUGGGGAGUACGGCCGCAAGGCUAAAACUCAAAGGAAUUGACGG
RNAcentral lists this ribosomal RNA (891 nucleotides) under uncultured bacterium. RNAcentral describes it as "bacterial SSU rRNA". It matches the Rfam family "Bacterial small subunit ribosomal RNA", at positions 10 to 916 of the family's 1533-position model. The record is from RNAcentral.